Molecule: ribosomal RNA, 250 nt
Filed under: uncultured bacterium
Lineage: Bacteria
Description: partial 16S ribosomal RNA
Rfam family: Bacterial small subunit ribosomal RNA
Source: RNAcentral
GCAAGUCGGGCGGAAACGAUGAUAGCUUGCUAUCAGGCGUCGAGCGGCGGACGGGUGAGUAAUGCCUGGGAAUAUACCUUAAUGUGGGGGAUAACUAUUGGAAACGAUAGCUAAUACCGCAUAACCUCUUCGGAGUAAAGCAGGGGGACUUCGGGCCUUGCGCGUUAAGAUGAGCCCGGGUGAGAUUAGCUAGUUGGUGGGGUAAAGGCUCACCAAGGCGACGAUCUCUAGCUGGUCUGAGAGGAUGAUC